UACGGAGGGGGCAAGCGUUGUUCGGAAUUACUGGGCGUAAAGGGCGCGUAGGCGGCCUUCUAAGUCGAACGUGAAAUCCCCGGGCUCAACCCGGGAACUGCGUCCGAUACUGGAAGGCUUGAAUCCGGGAGAGGGAUGUGGAAUUCCAGGUGUAGCGGUGAAAUGCGCAGAUAUCAGGAGGAACACCAAUGGCGAAGGCAGCUCGCUGGGACGGUACUGACGCUGAGACGCGAAAGCGUGGGGAGCAAACAGG
RNAcentral lists this ribosomal RNA (253 nucleotides) under uncultured bacterium. Its description in RNAcentral is "partial 16S ribosomal RNA". It matches the Rfam family "Bacterial small subunit ribosomal RNA", at positions 524 to 776 of the family's 1533-position model. The record is from RNAcentral.